GACGAACGCUGGCGGCGUGCUUAACACAUGCAAGUCGUACGGUAAGGCCCUUUCGGGGGUACACGAGUAGCGAACGGGUGAGUAACACGUGAGUAACCUGCCCACAACUUUGGGAUAACGCUAGGAAACUGGUGCUAAUACUGGAUAUGUGCUCCUGCUGCAUGGUGGGGGUUGGAAAGCUCCGGCGGUUGUGGAUGGACUCGCGGCCUAUCAGCUUGUUGGUGGGGUAGUGGCCUACCAAGGCGGCGACGGGUAGCCGGCCUGAGAGGGUGACCGGCCACAUUGGGACUGAGAUACGGCCCAGACUCCUACGGGAGGCAGCAGUGGGGAAUAUUGCACAAUGGGCGCAAGCCUGAUGCAGCAACGCCGCGUGCGGGAUGACGGCCUUCGGGUUGUAAACCGCUUUCAGCAGGGACGAAGCUUUUUGUGACGAUACCUGCAGAAGAAGCACCGGCUAACUACGUG
RNAcentral lists this ribosomal RNA (465 nucleotides) under uncultured bacterium. Its description in RNAcentral is "partial 16S ribosomal RNA". It matches the Rfam family "Bacterial small subunit ribosomal RNA", at positions 28 to 507 of the family's 1533-position model. The record is from RNAcentral.